GGUUGUAGCUCAGCGGUAGAGCGCUAGCCUAGCAUGUGUGAGGCCCUGGGUUUGAUCCUCAGCACCA
This 67-nucleotide transfer RNA is filed under the name Marmota monax (woodchuck). RNAcentral's name for it is "tRNA.Ala". The record is from RNAcentral. Lineage: Eukaryota; Metazoa; Chordata; Mammalia; Rodentia; Sciuridae.